AAUACUUGUGGUUGAUUUCUUGACUGAUAGAAUUCCUUCAGAUUUAAUUACUGAAACCUUUGAUGAUUUAACUAAAAUUAAUUCAGGGGCCCUGCUUCUGUGACCUCAAGUUACCUUGUGCUUCUCCCUAGUGAUAGUGCUUCAAAACACUACACUGUAUUUGCUGUUUAUUUGCUCGUCUCACUCAUGAGAUAAUAAGCUUCGUAAGCACAAGGAACAACUUACUCAUCCCAGACGAAGUCACUGGUCCAAAGCAGGCAUCUUGGUGUACAGAGCUCACAGAAUCAUCAAGUCCUGUCAAGAAGCAUUCAUCUUGCGCCUGUGCUGCCAGAAAAACAAACGUGGCUUCAUUAAAGCUUUCACAGACAAUGCUGUCGCCUUUGACACUGGUUUUUGUCACAUGGAAAGAAUCAUGAGAAAUCUCUUCGUAAGGAAGUUGUAUCUGUGGCCAAGCUAAACAGCAUUAUGUGACAGACAUCUGUGAGCGCAUCUGCUGUAAUUCAGUUUUGCACUUCAGUGAAUGUAAUGUAAAAUGUACUGUGAUUGUGCUUGGCAUGUGGUAGGCAGGCUCAUAACAAGUGCUUCCAAAGUUAAGUGUAUGGGUGCCACAUUUGUGAUUCUUUUAAAGGAGAGAGAGAUUUGAUAGUCUUUUUCUGGUACCCCAUCAAAUCUCUCCAAGGGCAGCCACUAUAUUACUUCUUGUACAUUUAGUGGAACCCUCAGGGCUCGAGAGACACAUACACAACAGUGGCCAGUGAACUAGAGAUUUAUAUGGGCUAAGACUUCCACUUCCAUUUGGAAAACAAUGAAAUAAAACAAAGAUCUUGAAGAAGUUUUAUAUAACUUCUAGGAAAAAAGCCACAGGUUUCAACUUUCAACCAUUUUGCUGCCUAUGCUAAUUUGUGUUUUGGUUACACUGUAUCUUAUUUAAGGGUGGUUGUGGUCUUUUUUCUUUCUUGAUGAUACCUUUUUUCAGGGAUCAAUGUACUUUUCCCAUAAAAAGCCAGAUAGUAAAUAUUUUGGGCUUUGCAGGCUCUGCCAUCUGCCACAAUUAUUCAAGUCUACUGUUAGAGCAUGAAAGCAGCCAUAGACAAUACAUAAACAAUGAGGGCAGCUGUGUUCUCGUAAGAAAAUAAAAACAGGUGCUGGGUUUUGAAUAAUACUUUCAUUCACUGAGAUUAAAAGUAUUCCUGAAAACUUUGCCAUUUGGCCUUCCAUUUUGUUUCUUAAUUGCAUUUACAGAGAAACCAUUAGAGUUUUAAACCAGAAAUAUGCAGCUCUUGAAACUCUAGAAAAUAUUUCAAAAACGUUUGUCUUUUUAGGUUCCAUGUAGCAGUAAACUCAUUUUUAGAACAGCACAAACCUGAAGUCCUAGAAAUUCAUGUCUCUAUGACACCAGCCAUGCUUCCUAUACAGACUGCCAUACUGAACAUCUUAAAUGCAUGUUUGAAGGAACUGAAGUGCUAUAACUCGUCACUUGAAGUUGAAUAUUUAUCUUUAGAAAACACUAUUGGAAAAUCCUUUGACAAGACAAUCUGCCAUUAUCUGGAUCCUUUGUGGCACCAGCUUGGAGCCAAGACUAAAUCCUUGGUUCAGGAUUUGAAGAUACUACGAACUUUGCUGCAGUAUCUUUCUCAGUAUGAUUGUAUCACAUUUCUUAAACUUCUGGAAUCUCUGAGAGCAACAGAAAAGGCUUUUGGUCAGAAUUCAGGUUGACUGUUUCUGGACUCCUGCACCUCGAUGUUUCUAAAUGAUCGAGCAAGGGUUUAUCAUGUUCCAGAUGCCAAAAUGAGCAGGAAAGGAAAAAUGUCUGAAAAAACGGAGUUUAAAGAAGGGCAGGGUAUGUCGUAGGCUUAAGUCUUUAAAUGUGUCUUAUUUCAGUGAUUGGUUAGAAGUACUUAACAAGUUAAUGUGUGAUUUUAAGUCUCCUUCAGCCAUCAGAAAAUGUAUGCCUGUAUGAUAAAUGCAUGUUGUAUGUAAUUCUGUUAAAAGUAUUAACAUGACAAGUCUUAGAAUCUGUUGCUGGGGAUUCUGGAUAACAAAGACCAAGUAUCAAUCAAGAACAUUCUUACUUCUACUUAAGAACUAGAUUGAUUUUUUGUAACUUUAGAGUAAUAAUUGCCACUUCUGUCACUUAAAUUCUUAAUGGAAUAUUUUAACAUCCCUCUGGGCUUUUAAAAGACAUAAAUAUACUAGAAUGAGACAAAUAUGGAUUUUAUUCUGACACUCAUCUAGUAGAUAUAAUGAAUAUUGUUUUUUUAAGGUAUGGGAGAGGGCAAAUGCUUACUUUCUGCUUAGUUCAAAGGUCUAGUUCAAAAGUUAAAUAUUUUAGGGAUGUGUUUGAGUACUUUACUAACAGAAAUAAAAGUUUGUUGUCUACUUCUAUUGCAUGUUCAGGGUUGUGAAAAUCAUAAUGAUUAUAGAAAUAAUCAAUGCUAUAUUCUGUUCUGGUUCCUUUAUCUGUAUAGCAGCUUAUACAUAGUGUCACAGUUCACAGUUAACACAGAAUAAUCUAGUAUUAGUAACCAUGCAUAUAACUUUCUAUUGAGACAUUAUAAAGCUUGUAUUAAUGUUUGUUUGAAGCAUCUUUCCUUUAGACCAUAACUAGACAAUUUUCAGGAAAAUAGAUUGUCUAGCAUUAUGAAGGCCCCACAAAGGAAAGGGAUAAGAGAAUGAUGCUUGAGUUAUCUCUUGGAUAGAGGAAACUUGACCCUGCCCUCCCAACUCCCUGCCUGCCUGUGCCUCGCCUGAAAGCUGCCUGUGUCCUUGGAUCCCCACCCUCUGGAUAUAAAAUAGUUGCCUCUAAACUUUCAUAGUUAAUUCUUGUAUUAAAUUCUUUUGAUCAUCUAAUGUGAGUUUUGUGUUCCUGGCUGCACCCUGACUAAUAUAAACACCUCUGCAAAAAAGCACAUCAAGGUUGACAUCACUAAAGGUGUUCCUAUGUUUCACUGUUUGAAUGUUCUAUGAAUGUUCUAACAUUAUUUAAUCAUUUGGCUAUUGGUGAACAUUUAACUUGUUUCCAAGUUUUUUGCUACCAUAGUUUGUGCUGUAAUGAAUAUAUCUGUAUAUAUAUGUAUUUCUAUAGGACAAAGUAAAAUUGCUAGGUCAAAAAAGGGGGUAUAUAUUUAAAAAAUGUAAAUUUAAUUUUAAUUGCCAAAUUGCCCCCAAAAUGUAUCAGAAUCUAUACUUUCAACAACUCUGUGCCUUAAGAGUGCCUAUUUCCCUACCCACUGGGCAACUCUUUGUCAAUAACAUAGUGAAAAAUGUUUUCUUGCUUUCAUUUGCAUCACUUUACAUUCUGAAUGAGAUUAACUAUCCUCUCAUAUACCUACUGGCCACUUGCAUUUCUCUUGCUGUGAACUGCCUUGUAACUGGUUUUAUUUUUUGCUUUAUAUCAUGACCUUUAUCUAGAACAAUAAUAAAAAGCAACAUCAAUCAGCACUGCACCAUAA
Molecule: non-coding RNA, 3452 nt
Organism: Manis javanica (Malayan pangolin)
Lineage: Eukaryota; Metazoa; Chordata; Mammalia; Pholidota; Manidae
Source: RefSeq, a predicted model, not a curated record